Molecule: ribosomal RNA, 294 nt
Filed under: uncultured bacterium
Lineage: Bacteria
Description: partial 16S ribosomal RNA
Source: RNAcentral
GGACUACAGGGGUUUCUAAUCCCGUUCGAUUCCCACGCUUUCGUGUUUCAGUGUCAGGAAUGCGCCAGUAUAUUGCCUUCGCUUUUGGUGUUCCCCAUGAUAUCAACGGAUUUCACCCCUACACCAUGAGUUCCAUAUACCUCUCGCAUCCUCUAAGUCAUGCCGUUUCUCCUGCAUUUUCUGGGUUAAGCCCAAAAACUUUAACAAAAGACUAACAUGACCACCUACACACCCUUUACGCCCAGUGAUUCCGGGUAACGCUUGAGGCCUCUGUAUUACCGCGGCUGCUGGCAC